Molecule: ribosomal RNA, 239 nt
Filed under: uncultured bacterium
Lineage: Bacteria
Description: partial 16S ribosomal RNA
Rfam family: Bacterial small subunit ribosomal RNA
Source: RNAcentral
GCGUUAAUCGGAAUUACUGGGCGUAAAGCGCGCGUAGGCGGCUUUGCAAGUCGGGUGUGAAAUCCCCAGGCUUAACCUGGGAACUGCAUUCGAGACUGCAUUGCUAGAGUAUGGGAGAGGGAAGUGGAAUUUCCGGUGUAGCGGUGAAAUGCGUAGAUAUCGGAAGGAACAUCAGUGGCGAAAGCGACUUCCUGGACCAAUACUGACGCUCAUGUGCGAAAGCGUGGGGAGCAAACAGG